CCCUUAAUCCAACAUGACUUGAGUCCUUAUAAUAAAAGGAGAAGACGCACAGACAGAAAUACAGAGAAGGCAGGAUGUCCAUGGAGACAAAGAUCAGUCCAGCAGCCAUCUGAAACUAGAGCGGCAAGGAAGCAUCGUCCCCUAGACCUUCAGCAGGGGCAUGGUCCUGCUGACACCUUGAUUUCAGACUUCUGCCUCCCCGCCCAGAACGGUGAGACAGUAAACGUCUGCUGUUGUAAGUCCCCCCCGUCUGUGACACUUUUGUCACGGUGGCCCUCGGAAGCUGGUACACACUCCCAUCCUGUGCCAAGCCGGGAUCGAGGCACGGAGAACAGAGCAGAAGCUGAGAUGAUGUACGGCAGGUCCCUCCUUCCAUCCUGGACCCUCAGCUUGCCCCCAUCACACUGAAGACAUGAGGGCCUUCAGAGUAACACAGAGAUCUUCUUCACUGUGCAACUUCCCACUGGGAGCAAACAAACCUACAGGAUGUAGAGGGGACUAGUCAGCUCCUCAGAAGAAGAGGCUCACGAGACAGAGCCCCUCUGGUCCAGAACUGUGUUCGUUUGAGACGGUUGUCAAAAGAGACUUUCAAACUCUGGAAGGUGUGAGAUAACUGCUGUUGUUCAGUCUGAGAGUCAUGUAAGACUUUUUGCGACCCCAUGGACUGCAGCACGCCAGGCUCCUGUGUCCUCCAGUAUCUCCCAGGGUUUGUUCAGAUUCACGUCCACUGAAUUGGUGAUGUUAUCUAACCACCUCAUCCUCUGCCACCCCCUUCUCCUGCCUUCAAUCCUUCCCAGCACCAGGGUCUUUUCCAAUGAGUCAGUUCUUCGCAUCAGGUGGCCAAAGAAUUGGAGUUUCAGCUUCAGCAUCAGUCCUUCCGAUGAAUAUUCAGGGUAGGUGUGUAGGUUGAUGUAAAACACCCAGGCUUCACUUCAAAACCCUCAAAAUAGUGUUUGAUGGAUGGAUUUAGAUCAGAGAACUUUUCAACUGGGAGGAGCCAAGAGAUGAUGCAGUCCACCUACCUCAGAGGGAAUCUGAGGCCGGGGAGGGGCUCACCCCCAGAGGGAGAC
This is a long non-coding RNA of Bos taurus (domestic cattle), 1070 nucleotides long. The record is from Ensembl. NCBI's taxonomy places the organism in Eukaryota, Metazoa, Chordata, Mammalia, Artiodactyla, Bovidae.